Populus nigra (black poplar) is the source of this 1981-nucleotide long non-coding RNA. RefSeq lists it as uncharacterized. Lineage: Eukaryota; Viridiplantae; Streptophyta; Magnoliopsida; Malpighiales; Salicaceae. The record is from RefSeq and is a predicted model, not a curated record. The transcript has 6 exons.
GUAUGGAGUCUUUUCAGUCUAGUCGUUUUUCCAUUCAUAUAUAUAUAAAAAAACCCCAUACCAGCCUCUUUCUCUCUCUUCUCUCUCUCUCUCUCUGAUUUUAUAUCAUUUCUUUCUUUUUUUCAUCCAAAUUCUCCAUCCAGAAGAGUGCGUAGGCAACGAGUCUUUUGAUUGGAAUCAAACAAGUUUUCUCUCUUUUCUUCCAUUCAUAACGACAACUCCGUUCACUCUCAGAAUUUGAACAAGAACGGCUAAAGAGGCAUGAAAUGGGAAUCACAACUCUGUAACAAAAGCUCCACCCACUCUAGAUUUUCCAAGUACUUUCAGUCACCAGUUGCUUAUUUUGUAUCCAACUCUCCUACAUAAUAUGCUGGCGGUCAGAGCCAUACCAAGGGACUUUAUGGCUAUCAAGGAGGAGGAAAAAGAAGCAGGAAGAAGCAGGAUAUGUUCAACUAGGCAAGUCAACUAAUUAAGUGCAGAUCAUGGGAUUCAUAAAAUAAAGACUUGAAAAAUAAUUGUCGAGAAUCUGAUAUCAUUAUACUUCUCGACUUUUGAAGAGAUCCUUGGCUGACGUGUGGCACGAACGCAUUUGAGUCCUCCGUGCUAUUCUAGAGGUGUGUGAUGACAAUUACAAUGGCUAUGAAACCUGAUUGUUGUCUCAUCCGAGCAGCUGUCAAGGUGGUGUAUUUGGCAUGGCGGUUUAUAGUUGUGUCCUCCUGUUUUUAUUUGUUUUGGGUUUGGUUUUCUCUUUUUCUUUUUUUUUUACUUUGAUUUUAAUGCUUCUUCAAGUUUAUUUUUUUUUUCAAUUUUAUCCCAUUGCAUAUUUAAUUUAAUUUAUUUUUUGUAUGCAAUCUAGUUUUUUUUUUUUAUUACUAUAUUUUUAUCCUUUGCAUUUAUUCUAUUUCUUUUAUUGUCCUUUAGAAUUUUUAUUUUUUUUUUCAAAGUUUGAUCCUCAUUUUUUUCCUUACUUUUUUUUUUAUCCUUUUCUUUAUUUAUUUUUUCAAUUUAAUCCCUAAUUAAUUUCUUUCAAUUAUUUUCUAUAUAAGAUUUAGUCCUCAUUGUUUUUUUUUUAUUUUAUAAUUGAGAAUUUUGCUUUAUAAUUUUUUCAAGUUUGCCUUUUACAGAGUAGUUUCAUUUUCAUGACUCGGUUUACUAGUUUAAAUGAUUUACCUAGUUUGAGCUAGGUAUUUUUUUAAAAUUCUUUUUAGAUUUUUAUUUUUAUUUAUAUCAUUUGACAUUGACUUAUUAGGCCUUGAGCUUUGUGAUUUGUUCAACUUUUUGGGGGGGGGGCUAUCCUCAUCUCAUAUCUCAGGUCGCAAGUUAGUCGAGUUAACAUGGGUUGAAUUGGUUUUAUUUUAAAUUGAUUUUUUAUUCGAUUUUAUCCUUUGCUAUUAAAUUAUUGACCCUUGAGCGUUGUUAUUUUUUUCACCUUCCUUUACACAAGGUUAUCUUGGGUCUGGGAUAGUCAAGAAUUUCAACGUUCUCUCCAUUAAUAAGUGACGCGUCUAGCUUGAUGAAGGUUGGAAUGGCACAUGUAGCCUUUUGUUUUUCUUUCCCUCUCUCUCCUACGAUUUUCUUGAUGGCCUUGAAAAAUUUUUAAAUCAACCCCUAAUGUUUGUUAUACUUAAGAUUUCAUUCGUAUUCUCUUCAUUACAAUUUUAAAAUUUAAAAUAAUGUAUGGAAUUAAGGUUUUUUUUUAAUUUCAUUGCUAUUCUUUUUAUUACAAUUUUUUUAUUAUACGAUACUUUAGGCGUGGGAAAAACAUUGUGUAGAUACUGAGGAUAUAGACUCAUUGCAUUGUGGAUCACACUGUAGACAUAGUGUUUACACUAUGUAUGAUAUUAUAGCACCAUGAGGGUGUUGUCUUUACUGUUUUUAGUUAAAAAAAUUUGCUAAAAGCUGUUGGGUCCUGCUUUCAAUAGCGUUGGACCUUUUUGCCACCAGGACCUAAUAGUGUUGGCCGAGUCUGUUUCAUUCAAAA